This 346-nucleotide ribosomal RNA is filed under the name Pseudamnicola sp. Andros. RNAcentral describes it as "partial 16S ribosomal RNA". It matches the Rfam family "Bacterial large subunit ribosomal RNA", at positions 2048 to 2587 of the family's 2925-position model. Lineage: Eukaryota; Metazoa; Mollusca; Gastropoda; Littorinimorpha; Hydrobiidae. The record is from RNAcentral.
CUCUUAUAGAUUUUAUAGAAUUUGGUUUUUAGGUGAAGAAACCUAAAUAUAAUUAAAAGACAAGAAGACCCUAUCGAGCUUAAAAUAAUUUUUUUGGUAUAAUGAUAACACCUUACUCAAAAAAAGAUUUUAGUUGGGGCGACUAAGGAACAGAAAAAGCUUCCUAUAAGCUAUAGUUACUAAUAAGUAUUGAUCCAAAAAAUUUGAUUAACAGAAUUAGUUACCGUAGGGAUAACAGCAUAAUCUUUUCUAAGAGUCCUUAUCGAAGAAAAGGUUUGUGACCUCGAUGUUGGACUAGGGUGCCCAGAUAGGUGCAGAAGCCUUCAAUGGUUGGUCUGUUCGACCA